UAUCAUUGACAGGAUUUGCUGGAUUUUUGUGGUAUAUUCUGGAUUGCCGCUGCUUUUCAUUCUGCUUUUGUAAAUCAAGAAUGGGCAAAGGAAAGAUUUCUCAUGCAGAUGUAGCCUGGCAUGUGUUACUUGUGGUCGUUUUGCUUUCUUUAAGGUUGUCAUAUUGUUGGAGAUUGCUGCCCGAGAGCUUAGCGAGUGGCAUCUUUACGCUUUUGCUGGAUUUAGGAUUCUACCUUAUUGCCGGUAUGCUGCAGGCCUUGAUGUAGGUUCAUACUAAAUUCGGAGCCACCUCACUUUUAUGCUCAUCCAAGAGAGGGCUGCCAGUCGCAAGGAUUAUGAGACAGAUGCUCCCGCAGGCGAUUCUUGCUUGUGCGGUUGACGAUGAAUCGAUAAUACUAUAAUGAGCAAUCACCAUGUAGUCGAUUUUACAGACGAUGGCAACAAGGUGAAUGAACAGGUUGGGUUUUAGUGCCCAUCUUAGUAGAAAAUUUGCUUACAAUUCUAUGGAGAACUUUAAUGUUUGUACCAUUUA
Lolium rigidum is the source of this 532-nucleotide long non-coding RNA. RefSeq lists it as uncharacterized. The record is from RefSeq and is a predicted model, not a curated record. NCBI's taxonomy places the organism in Eukaryota, Viridiplantae, Streptophyta, Magnoliopsida, Poales, Poaceae. The transcript is spliced from 3 exons.